CCUCUCUCCUUCAAAGUGAUUUCCAGGGCCAGCCCAGUGACACAGUGGUUAGGUUCCCACGUUCCACUUCGGCAACCCGGCGUUUGCAGGUUUGGAUCCUGGGCACAGACCCACGCACCGCUCAUCAAGCCAUGCUGUGGCGGCA
This is a non-coding RNA of Ceratotherium simum simum (southern white rhinoceros), 145 nucleotides long. Lineage: Eukaryota; Metazoa; Chordata; Mammalia; Perissodactyla; Rhinocerotidae. The record is from RefSeq and is a predicted model, not a curated record.